This 425-nucleotide ribosomal RNA is filed under the name uncultured bacterium. RNAcentral describes it as "partial 16S ribosomal RNA". It matches the Rfam family "Bacterial small subunit ribosomal RNA", at positions 354 to 796 of the family's 1533-position model. The record is from RNAcentral.
GUGGGGAAUCUUGCGCAAUGGGCGAAAGCCUGACGCAGCCAUGCCGCGUGAAUGAUGAAGGUCUUAGGAUUGUAAAAUUCUUUCACCGGGGACGAUAAUGACGGUACCCGGAGAAGAAGCCCCGGCUAACUUCGUGCCAGCAGCCGCGGUAAUACAGAGGUCUCAAGCGUUGUUCGGAAUCACUGGGCGUAAAGGGUGCGUAGGUGGCGUGGUAAGUCAGAUGUGAAAGCCCGGGGCUCAACCUCGGAACUGCAUCCGAUACUGCCAUGCUUGAGGGUUGGAGAGGUAGCUGGAAUUCUCGGUGUAGCAGUGAAAUGCGUGGAUAUCGAGAGGAACACUCGUGGCGAAGGCGAGCUACUGGACAACAUCUGACGCUGAGGCUCGAAGGCCAGGGGAGCAAAAGGGAUUAGAUACCCUGGUAGUCC